CCUACGGGAGGCAGCAGUGGGGAAUAUUGGUCAAUGGGCGCAAGCCUGACCCAGCAACGCCGCGUGAAGGAAGAAGGCUUUCGGGUUGUUAACUUCUUUUUUGAGGGACGAAAAACGUGAUGCUACCUCAGGAAUAAGCCACUGCUAAAUACGUGCCAGCAGCCGCGGUAAUACGGAGGCGGCAAGCGUUAUCCGGAUUGAUUGGGUGUAAAGGGGGUGUAGGCGGGAAGGUAAGUGAGAUGUGAAAACUCAGGGCUCAACCCUGAGACUGGAUUUGAUACUGUUUUUCUUCAGUGCUGGUGCGGCAGGCGGAAGUGAGGGUGUAGCGGUGAAAGGCGUAGAUAUGAGACGGAACACCGGUGGCGAAGGCGGCUUACCGAACUGUAACUGACGUUGAGGCUCGAAAGCGUGGGGAGCAAACAGGAUUAGAUACCCGAGUAGUC
Molecule: ribosomal RNA, 443 nt
Filed under: uncultured bacterium
Lineage: Bacteria
Description: partial 16S ribosomal RNA
Rfam family: Bacterial small subunit ribosomal RNA
Source: RNAcentral